This 19036-nucleotide long non-coding RNA is filed under the name Populus trichocarpa (black cottonwood). Its description in RNAcentral is "long non-coding RNA (PTRI_LNC001170)". Lineage: Eukaryota; Viridiplantae; Streptophyta; Magnoliopsida; Malpighiales; Salicaceae. The record is from RNAcentral.
CCAUGAUGAUCAGUGGAAGAGGAUGUUCCUGAGGGCUCAAAACAUGGACGUGAAAUGAACUUGGAAAGAUGCAUUUUGUCAAGCAGCACAAAAAAUUUAAGUGCUCAGAUCAGAAGAAGCUGAGAGGUUCUGGCUAAACUUUUACUUUUCUUCGGUCUUGAUGCAAGAAAGUGCUCAGAUCAGAAGAAGCUGAGAACUUUUGGCUAAACUUUUACUUUUCUUCGGUCUUGAUGCAAGAGGGCGAGGUUAAUGAUUUUCUUCCAGCAGUCCCACCUUUGUAUAUAAUGAUUAAUUAAUUUCCAAGCAGUUUCAUAGCUUGUUCAAUGAGUCACGAUUUCACACACAAACUUUGAAAAAUUCAAAGAUAAUUAUUACACUGUUUCUGGUCUUUAAUUUUUAUACUUAGAUUUACUUCUUGAUCCAUCAAAAAUUUGAAGAACAUAAUAUAGGAGUCCUUGAGAUGGAGGAAAUUGUCUAUAUAUAUAUAUAUAUAUAUAUAUAUAUAUAUAUAUAUAUAUGACCAUAUUUAGGUCUUGUUCAAUUGAAAGCAAAUGCAAAAUAAAAAAUAUAUUUUUCUUAAUUUUUUUGAGAGAAUGGAAAUCAAUAAUAUACAGUGUUAUAUAAUUACUAAAUGCCUUAUUUGCUAACUAGUUUAGAUAAUUAAUAAUCGAUUUGUUAAUAUUGACCUUUUCUUGAGAUGUGACCGGUGCAAAUUAGGGUUCGUGUACAUCUGUUGAGAAAUCUUCAAGACUCCUAUUAAUAAUUAAAAUGGUGUUUGAAAGUGUGAUUACGGACUUUAAAGUUAUAUUUUAAAAUGUUUUUAGCUCGAAAAUAUAUGAAAACAAUAUUUUUUAAAAAAUAAUUUUUGAUAUCAGUACAUUAAAAUGAUUUAAAAAUAUUAAUUUAAAAUUAAAAAAAUAAAAUAAAUUUAAUUUUUUUCAAAACCACUUUUAAAACAUAAAAAUAAAAAUAUCAUAUAUACCUAGUUAUGCACACACAGACAUGUCUAUUUCUCUUCAAAUUCACUGUGUUUGGUAUUGUGGUAACUGUUGUGGUUGUGGUUUGAAAAAAGUUGUUUUAUAAAAAGUAUUUUUAGUUGAGGUUGGUUUUAAAAAAUAGGUGUUUGGUUAAAACUGUGGUUGAAAUUGAGGUGGAAGAAAAAGUAGUUUAAUGUGUUUGGUUAAGAAUGCUUUUGAAAUUGAGGUUAUAAAAUAGUAUUAAAAAAUAUAUAUUAAUAUUGAUGGUUUUAAAUUUAAAUAUUGUAGAAUUAAUUAAUCUUAUUACAUCAUGAAAUAAAAAAUACUUUAUAUAAAAUAUUUUUUAUUAUUCCAUUAAACUAUUUAUAAUUCCAUUACGUAUAAAAUUCAUCCGAUAAGAACUACAGUUUUCAUAAUUUUUUAAGCGUAGAUAAAAUAUUAUCUGGUAUAAAAUUGAUAUUAUAAUGCGAGUGAAUUUAAUUCACUCUAUACUAGUUUUUCGGGAAAAAAAAUAUUGUUCACAUCACAGUGCGAGUGAAUUUAAUUCACUUUAAACUAGUGUUUUUUUUAAAAAAAAAUGUUAAAAAAUUUAACACACUGAAAGAAAAAAAACCGUGAACAGUGCAAGUGAAUUGCACUGUUCAUUGGUGAACAAUGUAAUUUUCUUGCACUGUUCAUGCUAAUUGCACUGUUCAGUGAACAGUGCAAUUAGCAUGCAUAGUGAUUAAAAACAUGAAUUCGCUGCAUUCCGAAUGUAAAAAACGUGUGAGACCAAUGAAUAGUAACUUGCUUUUUUUUCAUUACUAAAUAGAUAUAAACUGUAUUUUAAUUAAGACGCAGUCGCGUAGCCAAACGGGUUAUUAGUUCACCAGGCUAGCUCAUAGGCUUGUACAAGGCAACUAAUCAUUGAAGAUUUUAAGGUACGUGGUUACUAGGAAGAAGCUUUCACCAAUGCUCGUACAGGNNNNNNNNNNNNNNNNNNNNNNNNNNNNNNNNNNNNNNNNNNNNNNNNNNNNNNNNNNNNNNNNNNNNNNNNNNNNNNNNNNNNNNNNNNNNNNNNNNNNNNNNNNNNNNNNNNNNNNNNNNNNNNNNNNNNNNNNNNNNNNNNNNNNNNNNNNNNNNNNNNNNNNNNNNNCUAAAAUGUUAUUGUACAAGUUUCCCUGACUUAUUAAUUAAAACUUUUUUUAACUAAAUAUUUCUAUCCAUAUCCGUUAAAUGGUUUUAAUCACAACCAAAAUUCAAAGAUACUGUAUCUCACGUGCAAUAUUAAUGCAGAAGGAAAUAUAUAUAUAACCUGAUAUAUUGGACUAUAUGAGAUUGAAAAAUGCAUUUUAUUUACUUAGUCAACGUUGAUCAUAACCCAGGAAUUUGAGAAUUUAGAUACGACCACGAGUAUAAGAAUUAAAGGAGCCAUUUUGGUCAACAAUAUAGUAAAUAAUAUAGUGGUAAAAGUUUGGGAUUAAAAUGUUUGCUUCUUCUGUAAUCUCAGGUUGGAGCCCUGUGGUUGCUAAUAUAAUGGUCACUAGAGGCUUACAUGGUCGUUAACUUCAGGGCCCGUGGGAUUAGUCGAGGUACGCGCAAGCUGACCCGGAUACCCACGUUAAUUAAAAAAAAAAGAGACACAUUUUGGUCUUGUUCAAUUGACGUCCAAAAUUUGGAAAUAAAAUCUCAUGUUCAAUAAUUAUAUGACUUUUUCUUAAUUGAAAAAUUAGAAAUACGUUUUUAAUAUAUAGUCUUAUCGAUGGCUUCCACAAGGUUAGUGCACAGAAGCUGUCAAUAGAACCUAUUCACGUCUCCACUCCAUAAGAAUUAAUCUUCUUUACAAGGAAACAAUCUUCUUAACUACACUAGAUGAGAUUUUAAACAAAGAUAUAAACUAAUAAAAAGAAAGAUUGGGCGACUCCAAGUCUUGAGAUGAGACUUGAUCUUUUCCAAAACUGGUUUUCACGUAGUUUUGGAUUUGCUCCUAGCUAGAGAAAGCACCAAGUAAUUAACAGGUAAACAUAUUGAUUUAAUCUCAAAAAUAUUAAUUACUCUUUUAGUAAAUUUCAAAUCAACAUUAAUACCAAUUAAAAGACUCUUAUUAAAAUUAACUUUCAAGCCUCGAAACCAAUUAAGAAUGAUUUUAAUAUUCUUAAGAGUUUUCAUUUCAUUAAGAUAAAAUACCACUAUAUCAUCAACAUAUUAAAGUAAAUUCAUUGUUUGAGAAGAUACAUUAACUCCUGAAUAAUGCUCAUUCUCCUUUUCUCUGCUAAAAAGAAUUGUUAACCAUUCUACAACUAUAUUAAUAGAAAGGGAGACAAGGGAUUCUCUUGUCGAAUACCAUUCUCCAUGUGAAACUCAUUAGAUCGAUGGCAAGCCAUUGAUAAAUAUAUAAAGAUGAGCCAUUGAUAUACAUUCGUGAAUCCACGAGAUCCAUAUAUCUCUAAAGCCUAUAUAAAACCUAUAAUCCUCAAAAACAUGAUCUUAUAGAUUCCAUUCAUGAGAUUAAUAGGCUUGAAUUCUGCGAACUUAUUAUCCCCUUUGAUCUUCGAGAGUAAUAUAAUAUAAGCAUUAUUAAUCCCCUUCAUAAUUCUCCUAUUCUUGAGAAACUUAGAAAUUAGUAAAAAUCACCUCUCCAAUAAAUGACCAUUCUUUAUAUAUAUAUAUAUAUAUAUAUAUAUAUAUAUAUAUAUAUAUAUAGAAGUUAAAAUUAAAAUCAUCAGGUCCUGGAGCUUUAAACCCUUCGCAUCUCCACGUUGCAUCAUUGACUUCCUCCAAUGUGACCUCUCUCUCUCCAACCAAACCGAAGGGUCAAUAAUUAAAGACUUUGAGCCUCUACUUCCAAUAUAUGGCCUAGGAACAAUACCAAUACUAAACAGAUUUUGCAGCCUGAAAUUUGAUCUAUAAAGGACUGGCUAGUAAUAACAUUCCCAUCAAUAAUAAUUGAUUCAAUAAGGUUCUUCUUAUUAGAAAAAAAAAUCGAGAGAUGAAAGAAUCUGGUAUUCCUUUCACCUAACUUGCACCGGUUGUUCCUUGCCUUUAGCCUUUAAAAAGAUUCAUAGUUUAAACACCUCAACUCAUUAGAUUCAACAUCUAUUAAAAUUCCACCCCCACUCAUAUUAUUAAUUGCUUUAAGAUUGGAUUUUGCCAUUUUAAUUUUAUUCUCCAAAUACCCAUAAAUACUAGAGUUUCAUUCAAUUAAUUUCCAUCUCGCUUCUUAAUAAGAUAGAAUAUGUGUGGCAUGUUAGAGCAAAGAGAUGCCCACAUCUGUUUUAAGUUAGAAUGAAAUGAAUUGUGCAUCAACCAACAAUCAAAAAAUUAAAAAGGUUUCCUACCUAAUCUUUAAGUUCUUUAACAUAAGCAAUUGGACAAGGAUCUGAAAGACUUCUUUCUAACUUGAGGAGUUUAUUUCGAGGAAAAGCCAAUGUAACACCUAGGUGUGCAAAACAACUAUUAAUACGAACGACUCAUAUAAUAAACUUCUAAACCUAGUAUAGUGAUGAACUUGCAAAGGAAGCUCAAUAAAGUUGUCACACCUCGGUGGACAUCGACCAAGACUAAAAUAUAUUUCAUGAAAUUAGAUUUAUUGGGUCAAUAUAGAUCAAACCGUGUCGACUAGGAUAAAAAAAAAGAGUUUCAGAGCGUUUCGUGUCGAAACCAUCAUUUUCAGUCAAAACUGGGCCUAUCAGGUCAAACCAGGUCGACGGGGGUAAAAAAUGAAUUUCAGGCGGUUUUUUGGUCAUUUUUUUUUUAUCAAAACCAGGUCCGCCAAGUUGAUAUUAGUUGAAAAAUAUUUUGGUGUUUGAAAUUUAUUUUUUGGUAUUCAAAAUUAAUUUUUAGCAAUUGAAAUAAGUUUUUUUUAAUAUUAAUUUGAGUUUUUAGUUUUAAUCAUUUGUGUAUAUAUAAUAAAAUAAAAAAUAAUAAUUCAAAAGUUUUUUCCUCUUAUUCUAGCAUGCCACGUCACCUGGUAUACAAAUCAUCCAUUACCGCACUGACGUAAAAACCAAUCAAUCACGGCCAUUAGAUCAUGUUUCGGAUGAAACCAAUCACAGCCGCAAAAUUCAGAGCCUCUCUCUCCCCUAUCGCUGUCAUUUUCUCUUUCUUUGCAUCUCCCAACUCAUGUCUGCCGAUUUCACUUAUUUUAGGACAUUAAAAUAAUAUAAAAAUAUUAAAAAAAAUUUAAUUAAAAAUUAAAAAAUCUUUGAAAUUUUUUCAAAAAUAUUUUUCAACCACAUUGUCAAAGAUUACUUUAUUUCUUUCGUGUACAAGACCGAGAACGCAAAUUAAUACGAAGAAGUCAAUUAACAAAGACAUACUUUGAUCCCAUGCAGUUCCUCUUAUUUUCUUUAUCCGAUUCCUGUCGAGGUUGUAGAAAAAUACUUUUAGAAAUUAUGAUCCUGUAGAAAUCAAGUAUUGUCUUUCAAAAAAGAAAAAAAAGGGGAAGAAAUCAAGUAUGAUCCUCUUAUAUAGCUUUUCCCCUUCUCUGACCUCAAAUUUCUGCUUGAAAAUAUUAAUCUGCUUCCAACCUUCUUUAAUUUUCCUUGCUUCAAAUUUCAUUGCGUCUUAGAGACCAACCAACCACACUGCAACAUAUGAUUAAUCGUACGUAUAUUUCUUGGAAGAACAAGCUCAUGAUCAUUGAUAUGUAAUAAAAAUUAGAUUGUGUGCAUAGAUAUAAUUUUUUUUGAAAAAAAUAAUCAAAACAUCAUUUUACAAUAUUAUUUCAACAAAAAAAAUCAACAAGUUCAUAUUUAUACUUUAAUUGUAUCAGCAUAUUAAUCCAAUUAGUAAAUCAUUUUGAUGUACUGACAUAAAAAAUAAAUUUUAAAAAAUAUAAAUAUAUUAUUUUGAUAUAUUUUUGAAAGAAAAAUACUUUAAAAAAUAACUUUACACUCGUUCUCGCAUAGACUUUUUACGGUGUUGUUGUUUGUUUAUGGUGUUGUUGUUUGUUUUGGAAAAAAGAUUGGCUAAGUAAGGAUAGUUUUUGGAAACCCUUUUGAGGGAAUAGUGAUGCUAGAAUUUAGUGAAAUUAUAAAGGGAGAAUUAAUGAAAUUUGAAAUUUUAUAAAAUUUCAAGCAAUCUCCUCAUACAAAAUAAGGAUUUGUCCCUGCUCGAAUACAUAUAUAACAGUACUGCUAAUAUAGUCUUGUGCUUUAAGAAAAAUUUUAUCCAUAGAAAAUAAUGUUCGGCGAUACCAAAAAACGAUGAAUAAGCGAGCAAUCAAUAAGGAAGAAAUAUUAAUUGGAAAAGUUUUAUAAUAAGCACUCCUAGUUUCUAAUGACCACUCUGCCUCAUGUUCAGAGAUUUACCUUAUAUUAUUAUAUAAGGAAAAAUUUAUUUUUCUAUAUAUAAUAAAAAUUUCCUUAUAUAUAUUAAUAAUAAAAUUUUGGUUUUUUUUUAAUGUAUUUUUUUUUAAUAGGAUAAAAAAGCAUGUUAUCUUUAUACAUUUUAUUUUGAAAGUGAAAAAAUUAACUAUAAAAAUGAUUUAAAAACAUAUUUAAUGUUAUGUUUUUUUUUUAUCUCUGUAAUAAAAACGAGUUUCUAUUUAAAAAACAAAGUAAUUUUUAAAAAACUACUUUUUAUCGAAUAAACACCCCUAAUUAAAUGUACACCUAAUUAAAUGUACAUAGAAUUAAGACAUUUUGGUCCUGUUCAGUUGACCUAUAAGGAUGGAAAACAAAAUACAAUGUUUAAUGACUUUUCGUUUCCCUACUUGGAAAGUUCAACACGCUUUUUCGUGGAAUUUUUCUACAAUUUUAUAGGCUGCUAUGCCCUGUUGUAAGCUCUAUUAAUGAUCGACAACAUGUUGUCAACCAAUCUUUCCCUUUGAAAAUGACAAAGAAUCCUUUAUCUUGCAAUAUUUAGUGUUUACAACACUGUCACGUAUGAAGCUCAGUGCCUUCACCUCUGUGUAGUUUGGGACUACGCAUAUGCAGAAGUGGGCAAGCGUAGGAAAGGGUUUCAGAUAUUGUGAGAAUUAAUGAAGGUGAUUAGCAGCUCUACUUCCACUCUCUGAUCGAAGAUGCUAUUGGGUAUUUUGACGCUUUUUUGCUGUAAAUAUAGCCGCAUUGUUUCGAUGAAAGCAAAAAAAAUCAAGGACAAACUGUGUCAUUUUCAAAGGAAAUGCCGUGCCAAAUUGCCAACAGAGCUUUCCCUUUUCCAGUCUAAAACCUGCAGUUGUUCAUACUUGGAAAAACACACGCAUGAUUUCAAGUUUCUCUUUCCCUGUUUUCCAGUAGGAAUUAAACAUGCUUUUAUUUUUUGGGUACUCCAUUUAAAUUUCUAAAGUAUUCCUAAUCGAGGGUGAAACUAUGAAUGUUGGUUAAAGAGGAUAAAAAUAAAAACAUUAUUUAACUCGCCAUCGAUCAUCAACUCAUUCCUACCAGAUGUAAAUUUCUAAAGGGGCAAAAGAAGGAGCCUCCUCUCUUAUGAGAUUCCAACAAGAUCAAUCAUAAAUGUUAGCUAAUAAAUCUAUGUUAGGUAAAGUCUAGCUUUCUUGAAACACAGUUUCUUCAAGAAAGUAUCUCAUAGUAAAACAUAACACGGUAGUACAGCAUGCCUGCUUACUAUUUUCUUCUGGUAAACACACGAUGCAAGCUUUGGCAAAAGCCAUGAUCGAUUAUCCCUGUAAAAUUAUUCUUAAUUUCUGCUAUCCCCUUUCAAUCUUCCUUAGAAAAGGCAAAAGGGCUCGAAAUCCCUUAAUAAUAGCUCAUUUUUUACAUUUCUUUAAUCAUACAUUGAAAGAGAACUACACACAGUCAGAGCAUAAGAANNNNNNNNNNNNNNNNNNNNNNNNNNNNNNNNNNNNNNNNNNNNNNNNNNNNNNNNNNNNNNNNNNNNNNNNNNNNNNNNNNNNNNNNNNNNNNNNNNNNNNNNNNNNNNNNNNNNNNNNNNNNNNNNNNNNUGUCGUAACGCAAAAAUUCAGUAAUUAUGAUCCUGUAGAAAUCAUUUUAUUUUUUUAUUAAAAAAAAUGAAGAAAUUGAAGAGUGAUCACAAACCCUGUUUAUCCUCCAAUAUUUUAGUGUGUAAGUGAUUUAAUACUUUCAGUAAUUAUGAUCCUGUAGAAAUCAUUUUAUUUUUUUAUUAAAAAAAAUGAAGAAAUUGAAGAGUGAUCACAAACCCUGUUUAUCCUCCAAUAUUUUAGUGUGUAAGUGAUUUAAUACUUUCAGUAAUUAUGAUCCUGUAGAAAUCAUUUUAUUUUUUUAUUAAAAAAAAUGAAGAAAUUGAAGAGUGAUCACAAACCCUGUUUAUCCUCCAAUAUUUUAGUGUGUAAGUGAUUUAAUUAAUUCUUUUUAAAACCGCAGCUUAUUGAGACAAGGAAAAUAUAAUAAAGAGGAGGUAUUUAUUCACCUUUCGAUCUGUUUCUUCGAACAGCCCAUCUGGAGAAUUGAAGGUAACUGAUUUCUGACUACAGAAUGCAACCCUUUCAGUGGAAAUAAAGAGAAGUCCGGCAACAGGACCAGCUUCAGUUGAUAAACAGCAAUGCGAUGCCUUUAAUAGCCUUUCCCCGUCUCUGACCUCAAAUUUCUGCUUGAAAAUACUCUUCUUCCCACCUUCUUUAAUUUUCUUUGCCUCAAAUUUUAUUGAGUCUGAGAGACCAACCGACCUCACUGCAAUCAACAUAUGAUUAAUCAUAUUUUUCUCUGAAGAAGAAGCUCAUGAUCAUUGAUUUAUUCACUCAUAACGAAAGAAAAGAGGAGAAAAGAGUGCGGCUUAUGAUAAUUAGAAGGAACGAUUGUUAAUUACCUCGGUCACGAAUUAUAUUUGCAAGGGUCCUGCUUCCCCCAGUUGUAUCCACUUCAUCACCUGCACCAGCACGUCAAGGAAUUAAAGCUGUCAACAUAGAAAUAAUUUAGACUUAGAAAUACUAAUUUAUGAUCUGUGAAGAAGUUGGAGAAGAACCAUGAUGAUCAGUGGAAGAGGUUGUUCCUGAGGGCUCAAAACAUGGACGUGAAAUGAACUUGGAAAGAUGCAUUUUGUCAAGCAGCACAAAAAAUUUAAGUGCUCAGAUCAGAAGAAGCUGAGAGGUUCUGGCUAAACUUUUACUUUUCUUCGGUCUUGAUGCAAGAAAGUGCUCAGAUCAGAAGAAGCUGAGACGUUUUGGCUAAACUUUUACUUUUCUUCGGUCUUGAUGCAAGAGGGCGAGGUUAACGAUUUUCUUCCAGCAGUCCCACCUUUGUAUAUAAUGAUUUUCUUCCAGCAGUCCACCUUUGUAUAUAAUGAUUAAUUAAUUUCCAAAUAGUUUCAUUGCUUGUUCAAUGAGUCACGAUUUCACACACAAACUUUGAAAAAUUCAAAGGUAAUCAUUGCACUGUUUCUGGUCGAACAAUACUAAUAAAGAAGCAUUUAGUUUUCUUUAAUUUUUAUACUUAGAUUUACUUCUUGAUCCAUCAAAAAUUUGAAGAACAUAAUAUAGGAGUCCUUGAGAUGGAGGAAAUUGUCUAUAUAACAAAUUAUAGAAUAUAUAUAUAUAUAUAUAUAUAUAUAUAUUGUGACCAUAUUUAGGUCUUGUUCAAUUGAAAGCAAAUGCAAAAUAAAAAAUAUUUUUUUCUUAAUUUUUUGAGAGAAUGGGAAUCAAUAAUUAAUAUACCGUGUUAUAUUACUACUAAAUGCCUUAUUUUCGAACUAGUUUAGAUAAUUAAUAAUCGAUUUGUGAAUAUUGACCUGUUCCUGAGUUGUGACUGGGUGCAAAUUAGGGUUCAAGUGCGCCUGUUGAGAAGUUUUCAAGGCUCGAAUCGGUAGCUAAAUUCCUAGUUAUGCACACACAGACAUGUCUAUUUCUCUUCAAAUUCACUUAGUACACAAGGCUAGCUCAUUGGCUUGUACAAGGCAACUAAUGCAUUGAAGAUUUUAAGGGACGUAGUUCCCAGGAAGAAGCUUUCAACCAAUGCUCGUGCAGGAUGCUUGAUGCUUUUUUUUUUUUUUUUGGUGAAGAGAAUAUAGAUAGAUAAAUAUGAUACCUCUUCAAGAAAUUAGUGAAGAGAUGUUUAAAUUGAAGGAGUCUUUUUUUUUUUUGUUUACUUUAAGUCAACGCUUUCAAAUUAGUGAAGAGAUGUUUGAAUAUUUAUGAAGAGAUACUGUAUCUCACGUCCAAUAUUAAUGCAGAAGAAUAUAUAUAUAUAUAUUCUAAAUUGUUUUCCUCUAUUGCUAAAUUGCUUCGUAUCUAGUUAAUUUAAUGUCUUGAAGUAAGAGAUUUCUAGGAAAGAGAGAUGUCAGAAGGGAAUCAUGUCACCAACCCAACCCAGUACAACGAGUUUGGUAAGAAAUAUGCACAUUAAAAAACUAAACAACUGUUUUAUUUAAUAUACAUUUUUUUAUAAAUAUCUCUAUAAAAAUCAUAAAUAUUUAUAAAAUAUUUAUAUUGAAUAUUUUUCUUUAAGAAAGCCUGUAUGAAGAAAAUUUCAUCAAUCUAGAUUUAAGGUAUGUAAAGGUCAAGAAACUAGAGUUCAUUUUAUAAAAGUGGGUCUAUAAGAGUUUCAAAGCUAUUUUUAAGUUAAAUUUGUUAUUUUUUUUAUCAACAUUAAGUCCACCGGGUUGAUAUUAGUAAAAGAAUAUUUUGGUGUUUGAAUUUUUUUUUGGGUAAUCAAAAUUAAGUUUUAGUUAUUAAAAUAAGUUUUUUCUAAUAUUAAUUUGAGUUUUUAUUUUUAAUCGUGUGUGUGUAUAUAAUAAAAUAAAAAUAAUAAUAAUACUGAAGUUUUUUUCAACGGAGCAGCUUCAGUUGAUAUGAUUAAUCGUAUAUUUCUUGGAAGAACAAGCUCAUGAUCUAUCAUUGAUUUAUUUAUUCAUAAUAAAUGAAAAGAAGAAAAAAGAGUGGUAAUUAUAAUAAUUAAAAGGAAGGAUUGUUAAUUAGUACGGUUGUUCUGCAGUGAUGCUUUCUCUUUUAUAAAAUUUAAUUUAAAAUUUUAUAAAUAUUUAAUAGCUAAAAAUAAGAUUUAAGAUGAAUAAUGAAAUAAAAUCAUAUGGAAAAAAAAAUUUAAAACAAACGGGUUAACAAAACAUAGUAGGGAUUUGUAUCUUACACAUUCAAUGUUGUUAGAAUGAUCUAAAUGAAAUGAUUCUAACUACACAUUAAAAAACUGCUAAACGAGAUCGUAAUUAAUCCUAAAUUAAUUUCAAACAAAACCUCUAAUAAAUUACGACUAUGGUUGGUGGUCUCUUAAGAUGUGGUUAUAAUCGUUUUGUCGAGAUCUUUUUAAUGAUAUUGGAUGUGUCAAAAAUAGAAUUUCAAUGAUCUAUUUUUUCUUAGAGAUUGGAUCUUGAAUUUUAUUUAUUAGUUAUUGGAUCUUCAAAAAAAUUUAGAUUGAUUUCUAUAGUAGUUAAUUAAUUUGACUGAGGAGUUAGCAUAGUAAUACGAACCUGAAACCUGCAAUUUUUUUUUCCUUACAAUUUAAGUCAACACUUUAAAGGUUAAAAGUAAUAAAGUCAAGUUUUAAAACUCGAUAUUAAAUCUACAUGUAAUAAAACUUAGGUCAUAAAUUGAGAAGGUUAAUCUCAACAUAAUUUUCUUUUAAAAAAUUAAUCAAAAUAUUAUUUUGCAACACCAGUUCAAUAAAAACAAAAAACAUAGAAAAAUCAACAGGUUCAUGUAUGUGUUUUGAUUGGACCAGGUUAGGUCAAUCAGGUUACCAGGUCAAUCCAAAUUUUUAAUCAAAUCAGCCACAUAUAUAUAUAUAUAUAUAUUCUAGAUUAGUUCAAGUCUCGGGUCAAUCGGAUGUACAUUUGUUGUACAUGUAGCCUGACUUAUUAAUUAAACUGUUUUUAAAAAAAAACUAAAUCUUUCUAUCCAUAUCCGUUAAAUGGUUUUAAUCACAACGAAAAUUCAAUGAUACUGUAUCUCACGUGCAAUAUUAAUGCAUAUGAAAUAUUGCUCUUUUUUUUUUCCUUGGUUACAGUACCCUUUCAGCCUUUGUUUUUUUUGUGCUGUUUCUUAGUUUUUGUGCAAUUAUUUUUUAGAUUAAUAUGGAUAUUCAAUAUGUAUUUUAAUUAAUUUUAUGGAUUUUAAAGUUAAUAAUUAUAUAAAUUUUCAGUAGUAUUGAGAAAACUCAUAAUUAUUAAAAAAUAAAUCUAAGACUGAUUAUCCUAAAAUUAAUUUUUGUGCAUUUUGUACAACAACUUGUAUCACACAUAUACUCCUGCAGGGACCAUCUAUGUUAUCUUGCAUUGUGCUUGGAUGCAAUCGAUUUUUCAUUCGUGCAUUUAACUGGAUGACUUCGUACUACUGCUAUAGUGAUAUUGUGUUUGAUUGUAAUAAAAUAUAAAAAUAUUUAUUUUAUUUUUAAUAUAUAUUAUUGUAAAACUUAAAUAUUUUAAAAAAUAAUUAAAUAAUAAUUCUUUUUACUUCAGUUUAUAUUAAAUAUUAAAAUUAAUAAUAUUAUAAUAAUCAUAGUUAUAAAAACCGGAUUGGCCUAGUGGGUUGAUUCGAAGCCUAGAUCGAUCAGUCUGAUUUAAAAAAAAAUAGAGGAAUGAUUGACUUUAUCUAACCCAAUCAAAAACCUGAGUCGACUUAUGACCUGGUUGACAUGAGAUAAAACACGAGUCAAAAACCUAUUUAUAUUUAUUUUGAAUUUAUUUUUUUCAAAACAAUGUUGCUUUCACUCUUUUUUUUUAAACAAAUUAGGUCAAAUCAGGUUGAUCCUCUCGACCUAUAACCCAAGUCUUGUUUUGGAUCGAUUUCUAAGUUAGAUUUUAAAACUAUAAUAAUACUUAUUUUUAUUUAUAUAUUAAGUCAGGUAAAUCUAGUUGGAUUUUUUUAACCCAUGAUAUAAGCCUAGUCAAAACCUAGUUGAAUUUUAAAAUUAUAAUAAUAAUUAAUUUUAUCAUUUUAUUGUAGUAGGUAUACCUCCAACAACACUUUUAAAUUCCAAUAAUCAUCUUCUCUUUUCUUUAUUAAAAGUUUAAUUAUUUUUUUUUUGUGAGAACCCAUAUUUGGUUAAAAGUUUAAUAAGACCAUAGCCCCUCGUACGGUUGGCUAAAUUCUUUCUAAAUUAGUAGUCUCUGUUCACGAGACUGAUUUAGUUCUUUUAAAUCUACAGCACUUGCUCGUCAGCAGGCUUUAUUCUUUUAAAUAAAUAGUCCACGCUCAUGCAACUAACUAACUUGAUACUUUUAAAUUAAUAGUCUUUGCUCUAACUUAAUUCUUUUAAAUCAAUAGCCCCCACUUGUAUAGUCGGCUUAACACUUUUUUAAUAGUCUUCAUUCAUGCAGCUGCUUAAUUCAUUUAAAUUAAUAGCCGACUAGCUUAAUUUUUUUUUUUAUGAUAUAUAAUAUGUUUUUAUGUUUUUUUUCAAGAUUCAUUUCUCGAAGAAAACAUUACCAAAAUUAAAAAAAAAAGUUGCUACGCAUCCAUCUGACAUUACACAAUAUAUUUGUGUGAGACAUUACUUUUUUAUUUUAUGAUAGCUUUAUGAUUAAAUAGUUAUCAGUUCGAAUCUUAUAACUUUUAUUUUAAUUAAUAAAAUUAAGUAUAAGAAAGUAUAUAUUUGUGUAAAUUUCAAGUUCAAAGAGCUUCAAAUUUAAAGUAUAUUAAAGAAUAAUAUAAAUUAUAUAUUCGAGUCUUACCUAGUAGCUUAAGUUUUUAAGUUGAGAUAAUCUUUUAAAUAUAUUAAAAAAUAGUAUAAAUUAGAAAUAUAAUAGCUUUAAAGGUGUAAACAAUGGAGGCUUCCAUCUCUUUGAGCCCACCUGUGUCCAUUUCUUUUUCUUUUUUAUAAGAUUUUUAUCUUCCAAUGCUCAUUUGCCUGAUUUUUUUUUAAUACAAAAACCAUGCUACGAAUUAAGAAAAAAAUAUUUCAUAAAAAAAAUCAAUUAAUAAGGAAAUGGAGUUUUCGAUAGAUGGAAAAAUUCGAACUUUUUUUUUAUAUAAGAUAUAGAGAUUGUCUCUAUUCCACUACAGUUUUAAGGAUAUAACUUUAAGGCUUAACAUCAAUACUCAAAAAAUGGUGAUGCUGACGAAAACAAUUCAAGAAAGAUCUUGAACAAAUAAUUUCCCAUAAAAAUCUUUCUGCAUGGAUAUCCCCUAAAACAUUUCAGCUUUUAACCUCAAGAGCUAUUCAAAACAAAUAUCGAAGGGCUUUGUGAAUCGUCACCUUUAAAAAAACUUGAGCGAUGAGCCUUUUCUCUUGGCCUCGUAGCUCAAUCAGCACAAUCCUUGUCUAAUUUGGAAAUCAGUUUCGUUUUGCUUUGCAGACUUUGUCAUUAAGAAGUUGAGAAUUAUAUGUUUUGUAUUAUAUAUUCAGAAGACGUGAAGCAGUAAUAUAUACAAGAGUAUGUGCUACUACAGAUCUGCUAUUCAAGGAAAGUAGAUCAUACAAUAAAAGCUGAUUACAUUUAUAUCCUAUAAUCUCGUUCAAUCAAUCAGAGAGAUUUGUUUUCCUUCUUCAUUCACUGUCUUGUAACAGAUUUCCUUUCCUUUAACACUCCUCCUCAAGUUGGAGCAUGUAUAUCAAUAGUGCCAAACUUGCUCAGAUGUGUAUGGAAAAUAGGUGCACGCAGUGGCUUAGUAAAUAAGUCUGAUACUUGCUCUCCUGUUCUGACAUAUGAGGUUUUGAUCUCUCCCCUUUGAAUUCUUUCACGAACAGUGUGGCAAUCGAUUUCAUUGUGUUUGGUACGUUCAUGAUACACGGGAUUUGCGGCUAUGUGCAGAGCGGCUUGAUUAUCACAGAAUAAUGCUGCUGGUUGGGGAUGUUCAACACAUAAAUCUCUUAAUAAAAAUCAUAGCCAGCUCAACUCACAAGUAGCUGCAGCCAUAGAUCGAUAUUCUGCCUCUGCGGAUAAUCGGGCAACUGUAAUCUGCUUCUUGCUUUUCCAUGACACCAAUGACUUUCCAAGAAAGAUACAAUAGCCAGUUACUGAGCGUCGUGUUGUGGGGCACCGCGCCCAAUCUGCAUCACAAUAACUAAUCAAAUGGAGCUCAUUGUGGGAAGGAGACAUCAAACCUUGUCCAGGAGCCCCUUUGAGAUAUCGAAGAAGUCGAUAUGCCUCAUCAAGAUGGUGUCGCUGUGGGUUUGCAUGAACUGACUUAAUGUGUUGACAGUGUAUGCGAUUUCUGGUCUUGUGAUGGUCAAGUAAAUUAAUUUUCCAACUAGGCGUCUAUAUCUUGCUGGCUCAUGUAGUGGACUGCUACCUGCAGGUGUUAAUACCAAAUCUGCCUCCAUUGGUAUCUUUGUAGGUUUAGCACCAAGUAAUCCAGCCUCCUCCAAUAUGUCCAGUGUAUAUUUUCAUUGACAAAUGGUGAUUCCAGCUUGUGACCGUGCGAUUUCAACUCCAAGAAAAUAUUUCAGGGGUCCGAGAUCUUUAAUUCGAAAUUAAUUGCUACUGAGAAAACCUUUCAAGUUCUUAAUUUCUGCUUCAUUAUUGCCUGUGAUCACCAUGUCAUCAACAUAUAACAGCACAAUAGUGAGUGAAGUCCCCUUAACUUGAGUGAAUAAAGAGUAGUCUGCCUUGGAUUGACAGAAACCGAUGGUCUGUAUUGCUAAAGAAAAUUCUCUAAACCAGCUUCUGGAUGCCUACUUAAGCCCAUAUAAAGAUUUGUGGAGUCGACAAACAAUGUUCUCCCCCUGUCGAUGACAACCUGGAGGAGGCAACAUGUAAACUUCCUCUUGGAGUUCGCCAUGAAGAAAAGCAUUUUGAACAUCCAUUUGGUGUAAAGACCAGUUGCGAACAGCAGCCACAGCUAAGAGGCAACGAACACUAAUGAGUUUGGCUACUGGGGCGAAGGUCUCUUUGUAGUCAAUGCCUUCGCGUUGGGUGAAACCUUUUGCAACAAGGCGAGCUUUGUUUUGCUAAAGGACAAAUAUCGCAAAUAUGUGUGGAAUCAAAUAUGAUUUCAACAUUAUUUUUUGCUAAUGAAAGUAAAGGUGCAGAUGACGGGUGCCCUAAACGUCGAUGCCAUAAAUUAUUGGUAUGGUGAAUGUGGUUGGCGAGAUGGGGGUUUUGUUCUGAUGUAAGGUAGUAGAGGCCAUCAAAAUGCUUGCCCAGGCCAAUCAUCCUCUUCGUGUCCAUAUCCUGCACAAUACAAAAAUCCGGAUAAAAUGUUACCAUACAAUGUAAAGCUCUUGUUAAUUUACUGACAGACAAUAAAUUGACACGAAAUGUUGGUACAUAGAGAACUUUAUCGAGAGAUAGCUCAUGUGAUAAUUUGAUAGAACCAAUGUUUCUUAUUUUUGUAUGUCCUCCAUUUGGUAAACCAACAGAUGCAUGCUGAGCAUUAAUAAUGUUAUGCGUUGGUGAUGAAUGUGAUAUAUAAUCAGUUGCUCCACUGUCAAUAAUCCAAUAGAGAGUUGAAUGUGAACCUGUUUAUGCUAUAUUGCAUUUUGGCGAGAUACCUGUUGCAUUUAAAGAUGGUUGUCCAUUACCAUUACGGAGCAUGGCUAUGAUCUGAUUAUACUCCUCGGUAGUGAAUGUAGGACCAUCUGGAACUGGAGUGUUGUGCUUGGAAUUUGUGACAGUGUGAACAACCCUUGUAGCAGAGUGGACAACCUCAAUAUUAUUGGCCAUUGAUCUCUUAUUUCUCGGCUUCACAUUCUUGCCAUGCCAUCUGUGUCCUUCUGGAAACCCAAUAAUAUAAUAGCAAUGGUCUACCAAGUGUCCAUCUCCAUCGCAGUAGUUGCAUUUGAGUGGUUUACGUGAAGAUGUGUUGGUGCUCUGUUUGUUAAAUGACUGGAAUGUUGGGUUUCGCCUUACCUGCAUUGCAUGAGAAUUCAUCCCUAUAUCUCGACGACUUGCAACAUCCAUUUGCCGUUCAUGUUGGAGAAUAAGACCAUGAACUCGUUGUGUGUCAGGGAGUGGAUUCAUCAUCAGGAUCGACCCUCGUAUUGUGGAGUAAGAUUCAUUCAAUCCCAUUAGGAAUUGCAUAACUCUUUUUUUCUCUUCCCGUUCAGUGAGUCCCUUUAAACCUGCACAAGUGCAAACAAGUGGAUCAUGGCAGGAUGCUAACUCAUCCCAUAAAGCUUUCAUCUUGGUAUAAUAAGAGGAAACCGAGAGUUGUCCUUGAUGAUUUUCAAUAAUUUCUUGUCGAAUCUGAUAGAUUCUUGAGUCGCUAUUUUGUGAAAACCUUUCUUUGAGAUCGUUCCAAAUUGCAGCAGCAGAUUCUGUGUACAUGAUGCUGUUGGAAAUGUCUGGGUGGACAGAAUUCACGAUCCACAGUGUUACCAUAUCAUUGCAUCUUUUUCAAGAUGCAUAGUUAUAGUUUUCAUUUAGGGGUGAUGGAGCUGUAAUGGUUCCAUCAAUGAACCCUGUUUUGUUCUUUGCGCUGAGACCCAUGCACAUGGCACGACUCCAUUGCCCAAAAUUGUUUCCAUCAAGCGGCUUGGAAGCAAGAAUAAUUCCAGUAUGAUCUGUAUGGUGUAUCGCAUACGGGUCUGAUAACUCCAUGGAAUGCUUGUCUGUCUUCAUGCUUGCUUCUGUCAUGGUGUUUGUGAGAGAUUUGUGAUUACUGUGAGGGGGCUGUGUAUUUGAGGCUGUGUUUGUUAUGGUGGCAGAAGCGUGAUAGGUUACCAAAGGCGAUGCUCUGAUACCAUAAGAAGUUGAGAAUUAUAUGUUUUGUAUUAUAUAUUCAGAAGACGUGAAGCAGUAAUAUAUACAAGAGUAUGUGCUACUACAGAUCUGCUAUUCAAGGAAAGUAGAUCAUACAAUAAAAGCUGAUUACAUUUAUAUCCUAUAAUCUCGUUCAAUCAAUCAGAGAGAUUUGUUUUCCUUCUUCAUUCACUGUCUUGUAACAGAUUUCCUUUCCUUUAACAGUCAUUGCCACGGAUUAAUGCUGCCUCUAAGUUCUGACGAGCUUUGUCGUAACGCAAAAAGUCCAUAAACAGGAAUGCAGAACUAUCUUCUGUGAUUAUGAUCACUUUCUUCUGUUGUGACUCGUUCAGGUCGAACCCUCUAAUGUUCCUUAUUGGUAUCUCAAUCUGCUCAUGUGUAUCCAAUUUCAACGAGUCAAGCCUCUUUUGUGUACAAGAACAACAACGCAAAUUAAUACAAUUCAAUUAACAGAAACACGAGGAAUCCCUUUGUUUUCUUUAUGCGUUGUUGUCAAGAUUGUAGCCAGUACUUUGAGUAAUUAUGAUCCUGCAGAAAUCAUUUUAUUUUUUUAUAAAAAAAGGGAAGAAAUUGAAGAGUGGUCACAAACCCUGUUUAUCCUCCAAUAUUUUAGUGUGCUAAUUAAUUCUUUUUAAAACCACAGCUUAGAGUUAAUUCACGUAAUUGAGACAAGGAAAAUAUAAUAAAGAGGAGGUAUUUAUUCACCUUUCGAUCUGUUUCUUCGAGCAGCUCAUCUGGAGAUUUGAAGGUAACUGAUCUCUGACUGCAGAAUGCAACCUUUUCAGUGGAAAUAAAGAGAAGUCCGGCAACAGGACCAGCUUCAGUUGAUAAACAGCAAUGCGAUGCCUUUAAUAGCCUUUCCCCGUCUCUGACCUCAAAUUUCUGCUUGAAAAUAUUCUUCUUCCCACCUUCUUUAAUUUUCUUUGCCUCAAAUUUUAUUGAGUCUGAGAGACCAACCGACCUCACUGCAAUCAACAUAUGAUCAAUCAUAUUUUUCUCUGAAGAAGAAGCUCAUGAUCAUUGAUUUAUUCACUCAUAAUGAAAGAAAAGAGUAGAAAAGAGAGCUACAUAUGAUAAUUAGAAGGAGCGAUUGUUAAUUACCACGGUCACGAAUUAUAUUUGCAAGGGUCCUGCUCCCCCCAGUUGUAUCCACUUCAUCACCUGCACCAGCACGUCAAGGAAUUAAAGCUGUCAACAUAGAACUAAUUUAGACUUAGAAAUACUAAUUUAUGAUCUGUGAAGAAGUUGGAGAAGAACCAUGAUGAUCAGUGGAAGAGGGUGUUGCUGAGAACUCAAAACAUGGACGUGAAAUGAACUUGUAAAGAUGCAUUUUGUCAAGCAGCACAAAACAUUUAAGUGCUCAGAUCAGAAGAAGCUGAGAGGUUCUGUCUAAACUUUUACUUUUCUUCGGUCUUGAUGCAAGAAAGUGCUCAGAUCAGAAGAAGCUGAGAGGUUCUGUCUAAACUUUUACUUUUCUUCGGUCUUGAUGCAAGAAAGUGCUCAGAUCAGAAGAAGCUGAGAGGUUCUGGCUAAACUUGUACUUUUCU